CGCCUGCCCGGUGCCGGAAGGUUAAUUGAUGGGGUUAGACUUCGGUCGAAGCUCUUGAUCGAAGCCCCGGUAAACGGCGGCCGUAACUAUAACGGUCCUAAGGUAGCGAAAUUCCUUGUCGGGUAAGUUCCGACCUGCACGAAUGGCGUAAUGAUGGCCACGCUGUCUCCACCCGAGACUCAGUGAAAUUGAAAUCGCUGUGAAGAUGCAGUGUACCCGCGGCUAGACGGAAAGACCCCGUGAACCUUUACUACAGCUUGGCACUGAACAUUGACCCUACAUGUGUAGGAUAGGUGGGAGGCUUUGAAGCACGUACGCCAGUAUGUGUGGAGCCGUCCUUGAAAUACCACCCUUGUAGUGUUGAUGUUCUAACGUCGACCCCUUAUCGGGGUUGCGGACAGUGCCUGGUGGGUAGUUUGACUGGGGCGGUCUCCUCCCAAAGAGUAACGGAGGAGCACGAAGGUGGGCUAAUCACGGUUGGACAUCGUGAGGUUAGUGCAAUGGCAUAAGCCCGCUUGACUGCGAGAAUGACAAUUCGAGCAGGUGCGAAAGCAGGUCAUAGUGAUCCGGUGGUUCUGAAUGGAAGGGCCAUCGCUCAACGGAUAAAAGGUACUCCGGGGAUAACAGGCUGAUACCGCCCAAGAGUUCAUAUCGACGGCGGUGUUUGGCACCUCGAUGUCGGCUCAUCACAUCCUGGGGCUGAAGUCGGUCCCAAGGGUAUGGCUGUUCGCCAUUUAAAGUGGUACGCGAGCUGGGUUUAGAACGUCGUGAGACAGUUCGGUCCCUAUCUGCCGUGGGCGUUGGAAGAUUGAAGGGGGCUGCUCCUAGUACGAGAGGACCGGAGUGGACGAACCUCUGGUGUUCGGGUUGUGUCGCCAGACGCAUUGCCCGGUAGCUAAGUUCGGAAUCGAUAACCGCUGAAAGCAUCUAAGCGGGAAGCGAGCCCUGAGAUGAGUCUUCCCUGAUACUUUAAGUAUCCUAAAGGGUUGUCGGAGACUACGACGUUGAUAGGUCAGGUGUGUAAGUGCUGUGAGGCAUUGAGCUAACUGAUACUAAUUGCCCGUGAGGCUUAACCAUACAACAC
Molecule: ribosomal RNA, 1084 nt
Filed under: Vibrio parahaemolyticus
Lineage: Bacteria; Pseudomonadati; Pseudomonadota; Gammaproteobacteria; Vibrionales; Vibrionaceae
Description: partial 23S ribosomal RNA
Rfam family: Bacterial large subunit ribosomal RNA
Source: RNAcentral